GACAGAGGGGGCAAGCGUUGCUCGGAAUCACUGGGCGUAAAGCGCACGUAGGCGGCUUUUUAAGUCAGGGGUGAAAUCCUGGAGCUCAACUCCAGAACUGCCUUUGAUACUGAGGAUCUCGAGUCCGGGAGAGGUGAGUGGAACUCCGAGUGUAGAGGUGAAAUUCGUAGAUAUUCGGAAGAACACCAGUGGCGAAGGCGGCUCACUGGCCCGGUACUGACGCUGAGGUGCGAAAGCGUGGGGAGCAAACAGG
Molecule: ribosomal RNA, 253 nt
Filed under: uncultured bacterium
Lineage: Bacteria
Description: partial 16S ribosomal RNA
Rfam family: Bacterial small subunit ribosomal RNA
Source: RNAcentral